GUACCCAACAAGGAAGUGACGGCUAACUACGUGCCAGCAGCCGCGGUAAAACGUAGGUCACAAGCGUUGUCCGGAAUUACUGGGUGUAAAGGGAGCGCAGGCGGGAAGACAAGUUGGAAGUGAAAUCUAUGGGCUCAACCCAUAAACUGCUUUCAAAACUGUUUUUCUUGAGUAGUGCAGAGGUAGGCGGAAUUCCCGGUGUAGCGGUGGAAUGCGUAGAUAUCGGGAGGAACACCAGUGGCGAAGGCGGCCUACUGGGCACCAACUGACGCUGAGGCUCGAAAGUGUGGGUAGCAAACAGGAUUAGAUACCCUGGUAGUCCACACCGUAAACGAUGAUUACUAGGUGUUGGAGGAUUGACCCCUUCGGUGCCGCAGUUAACACAAUAAGUAAUCCACCUGGGGA
Molecule: ribosomal RNA, 405 nt
Filed under: uncultured bacterium
Lineage: Bacteria
Description: bacterial SSU rRNA
Rfam family: Bacterial small subunit ribosomal RNA
Source: RNAcentral